Small nucleolar RNA from Artibeus jamaicensis (Jamaican fruit-eating bat), 140 nucleotides. NCBI's taxonomy places the organism in Eukaryota, Metazoa, Chordata, Mammalia, Chiroptera, Phyllostomidae. The record is from RefSeq and is a predicted model, not a curated record.
AACCUCCCAGGAUCGCAUCUGGAGGAUGGUUAAUGCUCUGCCAGCUUCGGAGACAAGAGGGAAAACAAGCUUGGCAGAGGUGCCCAUUCCAUUCCCCGCCUGCUCUGUAGCUGCUGGUUGGAAGACACUCUGCAACAACG